CUUUGAAUUAACCUAUAUAAAGUAAAUAGAUGCAAAACAAUUCAUUAACAUUCCUUGAGUAAACAUGAUUUCAUCAAAUAAGGAUAAUGUGUUCUUGGAGACUGCUGAAUUGGCAUGUUUCUAAUGCUUUGAAUGAACAUGAUUAAAUUGUGUCUGGGGUGGCCUCCAGUCCUGAGGUGGCGCUAGUGCACCACUUUCUAAGACAAGAAGAAGCCGGAAAGUUUCAAGCCAGAGAGCCGUUCGCCUCAGUCACAGCCCGGUCCUACUCUUCAGUCUCAUCUCGCUGGAAUAGUGUUGUCAUGUGUGAAGAUAUACACGAAAUUGAGACUUCUGCUGCACUGUUCGAAGUCUGUAAGAUCAGUGCUGAAUUCAAAAGAAUGACCACAGUUCCCCUGCAAUCCAAGCAACUGACGCUGAAUUGGCUGAUUUGUACAAGAUGCACCAUUUCUGAGGACUUCUGGCACAGUGGCCUGCACUGUUCAAAGUUUGCAAGGUAAGACAUUCAAUUCGGAUUGUCUUAAAUGUUUUGAUUUGUGAAUUACAGCAUUUUAUCUCCUUUCUUGAAUGUGUGUGUGGCUUUCUCCUAAUGUUAAUGAUUUGAUUGUUAAAUCCUUUGGGCUCUUUAUGUCUUUUCAGAUCAGUGGUGAAUUGAAAAGAAUCACCACAGUUCCACUGCAAUGCCCUGCAAUGUUCCAAGUCCACAAGGUAAAGCAUUCACUUUGGCCACAACCCUACCCAGUGCACCUUAACAACUUGACUCCUGCUUUAAAUUAGCUGUUACCUGAAAGGGGGUGACUAAAUAUUCCAGUGGUAGAAGGAGCUGCUUCUCGAAUUUUUAUAUUUAAAUUUUGUCGUACUCUGACCAGUGAAUAUUAGAUUGUUGCUUAGUACUAGAAUUGGAGUUAUCUGAGACAAGAUGAUCUGAUCUGAGAAGUGUUGAUGACUACCUCCCUGGUGUUCCCACACUCAGUGUGGAGUGUGACACUAGUUAGUUUGUAUGCAUUGUGCUAUGCUCAACAUGACAUUGAGAGGCUUCAGUUGAAAGUGAGCAAGCUAUCCCACGGUUUCCUUAUUCCAAUACACUUACUAUACAAUGCAUGUGCAGCUAAACAAAAAGAAAUAUUAAUAUAUUCUAUGUAGAAACAAAAUGAGCACUACUAUGAAGUGUAUAAUAUCUCAGAGCACUUUGUUGACACAUGUUUUUCUCUCUGAUGGGGGACUGUGUUACGCUUUUCAUUAUAUUGCCCAUUGUAUGUCUGCCUAGAAUAUUGCAUGUUUUAUUUUUAAUCACUUAAGUUAUCAGGGAAACUUAUUGAGAUGGGGAAAACUGUAAUAACUUCUUAUUUCAGCCCCUUGACAGAUAAGCCCUGCAUGCCAUAUUACUGCACGCAUGCACAAACGCCAGAGAGGUUCUCAAUUCAUCUCAGAUCAGAGAAUAUCAGAGAGCAGAGAAAUGCAGUAGACUUUUCCUUCAAAGUCUCCUCGCAAGGAACAGUAUAUAUCGUACCUGUAUAUGCAUAAUGAAACUUGUUCUCUUAAUUGAGACGAACUGAUCCUUACAUCUCUGUGCUCUGAAACACCUUAAAUAGAGGAUUGUCAUCACUGGUUGUCUACUACAAGCCCCUUGUAGGUCCCAGCCAAGGACACAGUAGACCUGGGGUGUUGUCAUGAGAGUGAACUUUUUUCAUUGGCCUGGGCCCACUGGUAUUCCUGUGACACACCAAGUUUCAUGUCAAAGUCUUGUCAUGUUUUGCAAUGAUCUUGCAGGCCAUAUAAAAUUACUUCAUGGGUCACAAUUGGCCCUGGGUUUGAGUUUGACAUCCCUGCAGAAUGAAGGCAACUACACAGCUUUGGCUCUGGUAUUUGACAACCUCAGGCCAAUUCACACCAGCGUUAAAUCAUCAUCCAGGUCCCACAUCAGAAUUACAACUGAGAAUCUUGACAGUGGAACAGAGGACAUGCUUUGGACUUUGCACUAACCUACUGCCCAGCUUAAUGUUGAUUUAUUUGUUAAUUCAAAUGGCUUGGUUAAUUUGUGUUCAUUUACUUUUGUCUGUGUUGAAUAGGUCAUGGAUGAAGUUGCCGUAGACGAAGCAAUUGAAGACAUCACUAUUGGAAUCUGCUCUGACAGAAGAUUGGGCAUCCCACCCUUAGGACAUUGUCAGUUUUAGUGUAUGUCUGUCACACACGUGACACCCAAUCGGAAAGGACUCUUUUUUUCAGCAACUAAAAAACAGCAGUUAUUUUUGUUUCUUUAAGUGAAAUGUACCUUUUUUCUAGAGAUCAAUUUGCUUGUAUGCACUUCCAGCUCCUUGCUGGUUUAAGAAUAGUACUUGAGUGUGCAUAUGUUGUGUACAUACUGUGUUGAUUUUGACCCAAACUAAAGACAAACAAAAUACCAAGACUAGACUUAAAUAAGACUGGGUAAUAACACAAAUGUGGUCCACAAAGAGGACAACCAAAUGAAUGGUGGACUGCCAGAUGCACGCGCACAUGCAUACAGUAUACGCGCAUGAACGCACACACGCACACCUACAAGUGUGGACUAAUGCACUUAGUCAAUGAGCUAAAAGAACUGUAUGUAGAGUGAAUUUUAUUUGUGUCCGAUGUGUGCACAUGGAUGCUAAUCCAGCCAGAGAGCACUUUUUCACAGCAACCAAACAAAUUAUUUUCUUAAAGGUGCACUGUGUAGGAUUGUGACCAGAGUAGGCAACUAUGCUGCACAUUGAAACGGUGCUGCCUAUUACCAACUGUGUCCUUUUCUUUUCAUGAAUAUUUACUUAGUAAUAAACGAAAAUGUGUUAGUAUGACCAAAGUUCAGUAAGUUUACUAAAAAUCUGUAUUUCUAGAAAUUCAAAAUGACAGCCAGUGGAGAAGAUUCCUCUCUUUCCUCCUCCCCCUUUCAUGUAUGGAAAGAGCAAUUUCCCCAGUCAUAACGACAACUUAAAGUUUGGUGGUGGUAAAUAUUCAUGAAAAAUGCAACAUUUGUGCAUGGGCAGCAUGAAAUCUCAAAAUAAACUACUGAAAAUAAUACACAGUGCACCUUUAAAGCGAAUUGGACAUUCUUUUUGUUCACAGACUCUGCUCGUUGUAUUUCCUGCUCGUUGAUUGGUCCAAGAGUAGCAGUUAUUUGUGACUGUCCUUAUGUUUUGUAUAUCUGUGUGCAUUUUACAUGCGUACAGUGAAAGUCAAUACAUUUAAUCACAGAAUUCUUACUCCUUUUUUUGUUUUUGUUUGCACAUGCCUGUACAUCAAAUUGUGAUCUGCAAUGCAUUUGUAUAGCCUAGACCUAAUAUUUUUACCAUAUUUUUUAUUUAUUUAUUUAUUUAUUUUUUUUUGGGGGGGGGGGUUGGAUUGAGACUAAAGAAUCAUGUUACUGAAAUGUAGCUGUAUGCAUGAUUCCAUCACCUUCAAUAAACAUGAAAAAAAUACUUUCAAACUAUGUCAAAGUUUUGUGUUCUUCCAACAUAUUUUCUGGUUAAUGGAAUACCAAUUAAUUGUUUAGGAUUAAAGUGAUUUCAUCACCUCUGAUUUAGGUGAAAAAAAACAUUUUGUGACAAUUUAAAAAAAUCACAUUGUUCCAACACAUUUUUAUGAGGCUGGAACAUGAAUAAGUUGUGUUAGGUUGAGGUGAUCCAAUCACCUCCGUUUAAGGUGAUAAAAUCACUUAAACCUUACACAAUAAAUAUAGGGGAAGAAAUCAUGUUGACCUUACACAAUUGGAUUGUGUG
Long non-coding RNA from Engraulis encrasicolus (European anchovy), 3731 nucleotides. RefSeq lists it as uncharacterized. Lineage: Eukaryota; Metazoa; Chordata; Actinopteri; Clupeiformes; Engraulidae. The transcript has 4 exons. The record is from RefSeq and is a predicted model, not a curated record.